This 77-nucleotide transfer RNA is filed under the name Gilliamella apicola. RNAcentral describes it as "tRNA-Arg(tcg)". It matches the Rfam family "tRNA". From Rfam's summary of the family: Transfer RNA (tRNA) molecules are approximately 80 nucleotides in length. RNAcentral also lists the same sequence under 143 other names. The record is from RNAcentral. Lineage: Bacteria; Pseudomonadati; Pseudomonadota; Gammaproteobacteria; Orbales; Orbaceae.
GCAUCCGUAGCUCAGCUGGAUAGAGCACUCGGCUUCGAACCGAGCGGUCAGGGGUUCGAAUCCCUUCGGGUGCGCCA